Molecule: long non-coding RNA, 513 nt
Organism: Gopherus evgoodei (Goodes thornscrub tortoise)
Lineage: Eukaryota; Metazoa; Chordata; Testudines; Testudinidae
Exons: 3
Source: RefSeq, a predicted model, not a curated record
GCCUCACCUGACCUCAGCCGGGGGGAAAGAGUCACACUCACAGACAAUAAACAAUGGACUGGAUCUUCAGCUUGUGUAACUGGAAUAGCUACAACAAAGCUAACAGAGGUACAUCAACUUACACCAGCGAAGAAUCUGUGCCAGUGGCAGUAAAAGAGUAGCUGGGAGUCCGAAUGAUACCAUCAGUGAUGCGGGAGAAGCUGGAUUAAUGCUGUGGCAAGUCAAACAGGCACCUCAUUGGUCUCUGGAUUAAUCCUAUCAUGAAUCAAUGCUCCUGCCCACAGCUGCACAAGGAGUACUGUAGCCCUGAUGUACAAUGGAGAUAACUUUCAUUUUACGAGAUCACCCAAAGUAGUAGAACUGUUUUGUAUUAUAUACGACAGUCAGCAUUCCCAUCCUGCCCAUAACCGAUGAAAUUGAGACGUUUGCCAAACAUAGCAAAUGAAAGUCCGUGUUUCCUUCCUCCCAUGGAAGGCGGUGGCUAAGCUACCAUUGGCUUCAAGAGGGGUAGGA